GCAAAUUAAUUCUCUUUCUCAUUUCUCUUUUUCUUUCCUCACGCAAUGCUCUCUAUCGCUCCCUCCUCUCUGUCUCCUUCGGCAAACAUCACCGGUUCUCGCCGCCUCCGGCGUGGCGAGGCCGGCUCCUCAUCUUCUCCUUCCUCUCUAUUCCCUAUUUCCUUCUCUAAUUCUAAGAUUCCCAAUUUCUAGGGUUUUCUGCCUCCGUUUCCCCUCUUAAAUUCGCCCCUCCGGCGAGUGCUGCCUCUGCCACCACUACCGCCGUCUCCAUCGCACCGCUACCCCUGCCUCAGAAAUCAAUGCUCUUCGGUAAACAUCGCUGGCGGAAGGCGUCACCGGCCCGACAAGGCAGCCUCGGUUUCACUAUGGCUAUUCGAAUUUCAUCUGUUCUUUUUUUUCUUUUUAUAUUUAUUCAGUCCAUAAACUCUUCGAAACAGGAAGCAUACUCUAGAUGCUGAAGAAAAUCGAGUUUUAUUGCUUGGUAUCUUAAAUUAGAACUAGAUGUAACUAUUGUCUGAUUCUGUUAUUCUUGGCUGCUGUCUAUGAAUGAAUUACUGAACUGUAUAAAUGAAUACUACCUGAAUUGCUUUGCUGUGAAA
Long non-coding RNA from Salvia miltiorrhiza (redroot sage), 599 nucleotides. RefSeq lists it as uncharacterized. The transcript is spliced from 2 exons. The record is from RefSeq and is a predicted model, not a curated record. NCBI's taxonomy places the organism in Eukaryota, Viridiplantae, Streptophyta, Magnoliopsida, Lamiales, Lamiaceae.